This 494-nucleotide ribosomal RNA is filed under the name uncultured bacterium. Its description in RNAcentral is "partial 16S ribosomal RNA". It matches the Rfam family "Bacterial small subunit ribosomal RNA", at positions 28 to 507 of the family's 1533-position model. The record is from RNAcentral.
GACGAACGCUGGCGGCGUGCUUAACACAUGCAAGUCGAACGGAAAGGCCUGCUUUCCCUUGUGGAUUGCGGGUACUCGAGUGGCGAACGGGUGAGUAACACGUGAGUGAUCUGCCCCCAACUUGGGUAUAAGCCGGGGAAACUGGGUCUAAUUCCCGAUAGGACUGCAGGGUGGUGCCUGUGGUGGAAAACGAUUUUCUAGUGGUUGGGGAUGAGCUCGCGGCCUAUCAGCUUGUUGGUGGGGUAAUGGCCUACCAAGGCGGCGACGGGUAGCCGGCCUGAGAGGGUGGACGGCCACAUUGGGACUGAGAUACGGCCCAGACUCCUACGGGAGGCAGCAGUGGGGAAUAUUGCACAAUGGGCGGAAGCCUGAUGCAGCGACGCCGCGUGGGGGAUGACGGCCUUCGGGUUGUAAACUCCUUUCGACCGCGAGGAAGCCACCUGGUUGGAAGGGUGGUGACGGUAGUGGUAGAAGAAGCACCGGCUAACUACGUG